This 269-nucleotide ribosomal RNA is filed under the name uncultured bacterium. RNAcentral describes it as "partial 16S ribosomal RNA". It matches the Rfam family "Bacterial small subunit ribosomal RNA", at positions 524 to 796 of the family's 1533-position model. The record is from RNAcentral.
UACUGAAGGUGCAAGCGUUAAUCGGAAUUACUGGGCGUAAAGCGCGCGUAGGCGGUUUGUUAAGUUGGAUGUGAAAGCCCAGGGCUCAACCUUGGAACUGCAUCCGAUACUGGCAGGCAGAUAUAGAGAGGAGGUGAGAAUUUCAGGUGUAGCGGUGAAAUGCGUAGAGAUCUGAAGGAAUACCAGUGGCGAAGGCGGCCUCCUGGCCUAAUAUUGACGCUGAGGUGCGAAAGCGUGGGGAGCAAACAGGAUUAGAUACCCCGUAGUCC